Molecule: long non-coding RNA, 950 nt
Organism: Trachemys scripta elegans
Lineage: Eukaryota; Metazoa; Chordata; Testudines; Emydidae
Exons: 4
Source: RefSeq, a predicted model, not a curated record
CCGGGAAGAAGCGCGGCUGGGCUCGUCAACCUGAAAAUGCUUUUGAGCGUCCUACUGAUUUCUAAUACAAAGGCAAGGAGCAGGUACAGUUCCAGCUGCCAAGAAUGGAUGCAUGUUUUUCCAGAUGAGCCAACUGAGAUAUGAAAAUCUAUGGGAUCUAUUUAGCUGAUUUGGAUAUAAGCAAACUUAUACCCUGGUCUACUUAUUGCUGGUUUAGCACAUGUGGAUCUGACAAAAAUUGCAGAGUCCCGAUGAACACUGCAGGUGGAAAGACACUAAUUUGACAAUCUGAGACCUGGUCUACAUUAUGAACUUGUCGCUCAGAACACACAGGAGUCAGUCAUGGAUCAGGAUCUUUCUGUGCUAGGAACUGUACAAACACAGAAGAAAAAGUUGGUGCCUAUCCCAAAGAACUUAAAAAUCUUUGGAACAAACCUGUAAUACAACCCAGAAAUGAAUUGGAACACCAGAACCAAGUCUCUGGGAGGAACAAGAAAAUGCAACAGACAAGAUAGAGAUCCAAAUCCACAGCACAACUAUUUUCAGUUGUAGCUUUUACAAUACCUUGCAUCGUCAUACCCUACUUGUACAUUAUUAUAUAUAUUUGAUUAUGAUGCAAUACAUUACUGAGUUUAAUUUAAAAAUCUCUUAUUUGGAACUUUUAAAAGCAUAAUCAUUCAAAACAACAACAAAUUAAGUGAAUGUUUUAAAACAGAGGCACCACUUUCGGUAUGUAAUUCUAUGCUUUGUGCUUUAUAUCCUUUAAUCUUGAUAAACUUUUCCAGACCAUGACUCAGACUACAUCAUACAUAUUAUGAACAAAUAUCAGCUAAUUUUGUACAUAAACACUGGUUACUGAUUAGAUAGCAAUACAUUAGAAUAUAUUAAAUAUUUUCACAUUACUCUUCCAGCACUGUGAGCUUGAAUUUUCUUUUACAGAAAAUGUAUUA